GAAAUGCGAUAAGUAAUGUGAAUUGCAGAAUUCAGUGAAUCAUCGAAUCUUUGAACGCACAUUGCGCCCGCCAGAAUUCUGGCGGGCAUGCCUGUUCGAGCGUCAUUUCAACCCUCGAGCUCCCCUUUCGGGGGGAGCCCGGCGUUGGGGACCCGGCGCUAACAACGCCGGCCCCGAAAUGGAGUGGCGGCCCGUCCGCGGCGACCUCUGCGUAGUAACAACCACUCGCACCGGGACCCGGGCGCGGCCACGCCGUAAAACACCCCACCUUCCGAAUGUUGACCUCGAAUCAGGUAGGAAUACCCGCUGAACUUAAGA
RNAcentral lists this unclassified non-coding RNA (318 nucleotides) under plant metagenome. Its description in RNAcentral is "partial contains 5.8S ribosomal RNA, internal transcribed spacer 2, and large subunit ribosomal RNA". The stretch from base 1 to 105 matches the Rfam family "5.8S ribosomal RNA", at positions 50 to 154 of the family's 154-position model. The record is from RNAcentral.